UCGCAUAAGGGACUGGGCUGAUUUUCUCGUUUCGUUUUAUGGUUUUUCCCUGCUCGUUUUGUGGUCGCAAGAAAAACCCUAGCCCAUUCCCGUCCGCAUCCCUGCUGCCGCCGCCGCCCUCCCAGUUCCCUCUGCUCCUGCUGCUUCCCUCCACCUCUCCCUCCUCCAUGCCGUCAGGGGCGCCCCUCAAGCCCCACCUCAUCGGUUCCUCACCCCGGGCUCCUUCUCCCCCGCCCAUGCUGCUCUCUGUGCGCGGUGACCGGACAGAGGAGGAAGAUCAGGAGGGCCGCAGGGAUGAAGGAGGAGGUAGAGCCGUUCACGUCGCCGCCGCCGUCUUCCUCGCCCUCACCAUGCGGGCCGCAGCGCUCCACCUCCUUGGCAUCUCCGUCUGGUCUACAGAUGAUGAGAAAUAAGGGACGGAAGCAAGAUGUGAGGAUGUGGAGACGCUAUGUUGCCUUCAUCCCUGGCCUUCUUCUUGGCGUGUACUCGUUGGUCAUGCUCCGCUUCCUCCACUCCCACCUCUCGGCCUCGACACCUCUGCGUAUUUCUCCAUCACUCUCUUGCAGGUACUCACUCUACUCCUCCUCUGCUUUCAGUUAGUCUGCAAUUUUUUCAUCCUUGCUUAUGUAGGUUAUUGUUGAAAUCCAACAAGGCCACUGUGGAACUCAGUGAUUUGUUUCUCAAAUACGUCUGUGUUGUGUGAUUUGCUAUGCAAGCUAUAUAUGGAUAAAUUGCAGGGGAAAUAUAAUUGUGCUGGAUUGUUCGAGACAUCCAUCACAUAAUUUUCUCAGAUUUAGAACUCAUGCAGAUGUUGUUAUCUUUUCAGGUAUGUGCUGAGAAUCCUAGGUGCGGCGACCUCAACAAUGUCCCAUCGUUGCCGGCGGUCUCCUAUAUGCUCCUGCGGAAUAAGUUCUUCCUGACCACCUCGACACUCACCGCCGCCGAGGAAUCCAGGGACAAGACUACUUCCAAGUUGCUCAUCCGCCUUCAGGAUGCACACAUAAGGCUGGUUUGGUGAUUCCUAACAGAAAGAAGUAAACCAUUGUUGAUGUGUCCUCUAAGGUGCAGACGGUGGGCUCUGCGUGGUCGAACCUAAGUUAGUUCCUUUCAAGGGCUAAUACCAAUGAGGUGUACCAGGUGCGCUGGCUCAUGCCACCGCAUCCACCGACAGCAAGGUGGAGAAUGAGGCGCUCAAGGAGAGGGAGACCAGGAUGGUGCUUGUGUCUAUACGGUGACAGCGUGGACCUCUUCUUCGCAGAGAGGACGAAGUUGCAUGUCCCAAAUCGUUAGGGGCUAGGCUGUUUCCGCGUCGAGGAGUUCAUUUUGGCAGACGGAACUUUUGAAAGCUAGAAUAUUUUGGUGAAAUGUGAAGGGCUGCUUCAGUUUACCCAUAGUGUUAUUUCUAGAUGAACAAGGAGUGGUGACAUUGUGAGAUGGUGAAGCCAGAGCAUUGUCGAUGAAACUAGCCGAGGAGGAAUUGUGAGUUCACCUCCCUCUCCUUUGCAUCGGUUGUAUUUUCUCUCCUCUUUGUGCCCAUAUAUGUUAUGUUUCCCCGGGUCGGUGUGAAGUGAGCACGCAGUUUGUCAUCGUUCGUCAAUCGUCCGUCCUGUUCGUCUUCACUUCGUUCGAUGUGCCUUUCCGUUGCGGAGGUGUGUUUUGUUGUUUUAUCUUGUUGCACUUGUUAAUAUGAAAUCACGUCUUAAAGGAUUCAGAAGGUUAUACUUCAGUUUAGUUAUUGUGUUCUUAAGAUUUCUAUACGAACUUUACUCCUUUCUACAAGACUAGCCAUCAAAUCAUGAUAACUGAACCAUUGAAAAACUAUAGAAGGAUUAGUGGCAAUAAAACCUUAGGUUAGUUCUACCCUUUAUUUUGUUAUAAUUCCUCUGUUCUGGUAAUGAAAAAGAUGACCACACAGAUUAAAGGUUUAGAAACUAUAAAAGGAUCUGAACAUGAAGCUUAAUCUGCUGAAUUUUCACUUCAGUAGUCCCUCGGCUUCGAGAGUAUACGCAAUAUUUGAUUGUUGCUUCUCAAUGAUGCUACCAAAAAUUGGACACCCUGGCGUCGGAGAGACGGACCAGGAGGCCGAGCAGUCCGUGGUGUCGCCGCCGUCGUCCUCAUCCCUCGUGCGUGGUGACGGAGAGAGGCGAUCCGUCUGGAGCUCGAGUAUAGUUGACCGCGUCUCUUUUCUUUCUCUUCUUUCGCACGUCUCUUUUUCUGUAGCUGUUUGAAGGCUUAUGAUGCAUGGUCACUGACUGUAUUGGAGAUGUAACAUGGUUUGUUAGGUUCAGCCAUUGUGCAAUCUGCACUAACAGGCAUGUGCCCAGCUAAGAGCAAUCUGUAGGAUAUAAUCUAGGAUUUGCUGCAAUUAUCUGCUUCAAUUUAUAGGAGCCGCCUCCUCUUUUACUGAUAAAAACUGGUCGGAGGGGAUCUGCUUUUUCCCCUGAUCUUCUCCGCGAUUGGGAGCCUGAGCCAUGGCUGACCCAUUCACUGCUGGUCUCGGCAGCACCCAAAUAUUCACACAUAUUGGUGAUAGUCUGAUAUGCCUUUUGGGAUUUGCAGUGUAUGUGGAUCUUGGCAGAGCAGAGUCACUUAACCCUGUGAGUCCAUUAUAUCAUGCAUGUAGUGAAUGCGUGCAUCCAGUCAGUGAAUAAUGGUUGUAACGAUAAGUUUGUGUAUUUGUUUUAUUGAUCAAUGUGUGCGCCGCACGCUGAGUAACCUAACUUCUGAAAGUUAUGGCUGUAGUUACAAGUAUGCACUAGCAUAUUGGUUUGUUUUCCGAUUCUGGUGGGAUUAUGUCUUCAUUGUAUUUCCCAACAUUUAUAACUGGUUACUCUUAAUUUGUUAAUUGCUUUGCAAAAUUUUCUGUGAUGAACUACGAUGAUGAAAGUUGUACUGGGUAAGUUAGUUUUCCUGAGAACUUACCAUGGGUCAAACUAGUAUUAAGUUAAUCAAGUUGUUUGAAAUGAUAUUAGCAGACAUGACUUGCUUCAUGUUGGUUUUGAAUUCUACUCAUUGUCAGUUCUCUUUUAGUCGUUUUGUUUCAACGAGUGCCUACAAGGUAUCUGCGGAGGUUAACUGAAUUAUUUUCCCAUUUGAUGUGUGACAUCCGUAAAUAGCUACUAGAGAUAAUUACUAGAUUAUAUCACUAUGUUGAAGUUCUCUUAAAUUAUCAUGCUCUGUCCACGAGUUGGAUCACUUGUGUCUUCUGGAUAGUUGUUGCUUGAGUUUAAUUUUACAUUGUGCUUAUGAGAUGAUAGUUAUACCUUACAUGAGAUCCAUCAUUCAUAUUGUUGUUUCUUCACACUAUUUCUGUUAAAAUCUACAUUUCUUCUGUACAUGAAGUCAAAUAGUCAAUAGUUGUUGGAUCAUUCAGGUUUUCCUUUUCUUUGUUGUACUAUAUGAAGUGCGUAUAUUUUUAAUCAUUACACCGAUUUUGCCGACAGUGCCGGCAUACAUGUCCCUUUCGUCAUUGCCAUCAUCCUAGCAUCUAGAGGUAGAUCAAACGUUCUAUAAAAGAUCCCAGGCCUCUUUUUCUCUCAUCAAAUUUGAGAACAUUUUUUUUAGGUCUGUCAUCUAUUAUUAUGGUCAUAAUUUGAUCUCUUGAUAGAAGUUAAAUGAAGGGGGAACACCUGUUUGGAGGAGGGAAACAAGUACAUAAUAUAUUUUUCUUUCCUUCAUUUGUGCCCUCUAAAUACUUGUCAUUUCUUUGGCAGGUUAGAGAGUACCAGGGAUACAACAUCAUUUUGAAAAUCCGAAUUUGGCUAAUCCAUGUGUACUGGACCUGUUUUUGAAGUUGUUCUGUCUCAUUUUUGUGAAGGUGGGGCUGUGCAUUUGAUUGGAUUUUGUGGUGGCCUGGUUGGGAAAAGGAAGGUGCAUCUAUUUUUGUUUGCUUCAGUUCUCCCUUUUGGAUUGAGUUGUUGCUAGCUUGCCAUGAAGUUCCUUUACUUGAUAAGAAAUUUUAGUUUGAAAUAUGUGGUCAUUGGGAGUUCAGAAAAGGUGGCAAGCAGGGAAGUCACUACUUUGUACUUGUAUUGUUUCCUUUUACCCAAGUGCCUUCAUACGAUACUAAGUAUUUUUCAGUUUUACAUCAUUCGUUGUACUAAACCACAACAGUACUACGGACUUGCAUGUACCAGUGCUUCAUAUAUGUCGUACUCUGACUGAUGAAAUAACAUCACAUAGUGCAUACAAGAAAGUGAAAAGGACGCUUACCUAACUGGCACCGCCGAGUUUCCUCUCAGGAGGUGCCCCCGAGGGCAGUGGCGGAGCUUCUCAGGGGCCAACCUGGGCCGUUGCCCCCCCAGCCCAUGAAUUUUUUCUGAAAUACCCCUUAGUAUUUGGCCCAUAUCUCAAGCAAAAUCAGCCCAAAAU
Triticum dicoccoides is the source of this 4371-nucleotide long non-coding RNA. RefSeq lists it as uncharacterized. NCBI's taxonomy places the organism in Eukaryota, Viridiplantae, Streptophyta, Magnoliopsida, Poales, Poaceae. The record is from RefSeq and is a predicted model, not a curated record. The transcript has 10 exons.